This 305-nucleotide ribosomal RNA is filed under the name uncultured bacterium. Its description in RNAcentral is "bacterial SSU rRNA". It matches the Rfam family "Bacterial small subunit ribosomal RNA", at positions 337 to 659 of the family's 1533-position model. The record is from RNAcentral.
CCCUACGGGGGGCAGCAGUGGGGAAUAUUGCACAAUGGGGGGAACCCUGAUGCAGCGACGCCGCGUGAGCGAAGAAGUAUCUCGGUAUGUAAAGCUCUAUCAGCAGGGAAGAAAAUGACGGUACCUGACUAAGAAGCUCCGGCUAAAUACGUGCCAGCAGCUGCGGUAAUACGUAUGGAGCAAGCGUUAUCCGGAUUUACUGGGUGUAAAGGGAGCGCAGGCGGCGCGCCAAGUCUGGUGUGAAACCCCGGGGCUCAACCCCGGGACUGCAUUGGAAACUGGCGGGCUGGAGUGUCGGAGGGGCG